Molecule: ribosomal RNA, 4278 nt
Filed under: Triticum aestivum (bread wheat)
Lineage: Eukaryota; Viridiplantae; Streptophyta; Magnoliopsida; Poales; Poaceae
Description: partial small subunit ribosomal RNA
Source: RNAcentral
AUGGACACAGCCAUCAGUGCCGCAGUUUGGGUGGUAGGCAAGGCGCUGGCCCUUGUUUCGGAUGGCUUACUGGAGAACUGGGCGGCCUGCGACAAUCUCGGCCCCAAUAUCAGCACCCUCAAGAGGAAGUUGCUUCAUGCGCAGGGGAUACUGUACACUGCGCACGGCAGGGACAUCACCAACCCUGCGCUCAAGGAUCAGCUUCACAUGCUGCGGCAGCUAGCAGAUGAGGCGAAUGACGUGCUUGAUGUGCUGGACUACUUCCGCAUCCAGGAUAAGCUCAACAGCACCUAUGAUGCCGCUGAUAAUCAUCCCGGGGGCUGCAUUCACAGCCUAGGUAUCAAUGUGCGGCACACCACUCGAGCUGUUUUUGCCAAUAAAUUCAAGCUAUCCUCAAGCUUGCAUGAUGCUCGUGGUGGCAAUCUUGACGACCAAGAAGGUGAUGCAAAACAAGGAUGCCUAUCAUUUGUCCGCACAUGUGGCGGGUGGCAUGUUGUUGGCAGGGAAUCCUUUCCGAAGGGAGCCUCCAGUAGUGCUCGUGGUGCUACCCAUGCUGAUGCUAAAAUAUUCACAUGCUGCUCUUUUCCAUCCAUCCAAGAUGAUGGUCUCACUAGCAUUUCAGAAUCUUCCCAGGCACCCAUAGAAGAUGGUCAAAAAAUGGAGUUUAAUCGUGUAGAAAUGUCUAAAAAGAUGGCAGAAAUUGUACAACAGUUGGAUCCAUUGUGUUCUGAGGUGAAGGACAUCCUUGAUCUGGAGCCCGGCAAACCUACCCAAGGCAGCAUUGUUGGGAACAGACUCAAAACCACCCCAACAAUAAUAGAGACAAAGUUAUUUGGAAGGGAUGCUGAGAAAAUGGACAUUGUAGAUGGCAUUACCCAUGGAAAAUAUUGUGCCGGUGGACUCACCGUGCUUCCAAUUGUUGGCCUAGGGGGUAUUGGGAAAACGACUUUCACACAACAUGUAUAUCAAGAAGUGAAGAGCUCUUUUGAUGUAAUGCUUUGGGUCUGUGUGUCUAUGAGUUUUGAUGCAAAUAGGAUGCUACAAGAGAUUGUGAAAAACAUCCCUGAGGUAGAUGGUGAAACAAAACAUGGUACUGCAGAAGAGCUUAUCGAACAAAGAUUAAAACAUAAGAGGUUCUUGCUGGUUUUGGAUGAUGUGUGGACAUAUCACGAGUAUGAGUGGAAAAAACUGUUAGCUCCCUUCAAAAAAGGAGAGACGAGAGGUAAUAUGGUUAUUGUCACUACUCGGCUUCCAGAGACAGCUACAAUGUCUAAAACUGUUGACUAUUCGAUUGACCUGAAUAGCUUACGAGAUGAAGAUUUCUUGCAUUUAUUUGAAGCAUGUGUAUUUGAUCAACAAAAGUCAUUGGAAGACCAUCGUGAAUUGCUUGAUGUUGGAAAACAAAUAGUGGUCAAAUUGAAAGGUUCCCCUCUUGCGGCAAAAACUGUAGGUAGAUCACUAAGAAGCCAACUUACAUUGGACCAUUGGACAAGAGUUCUGGAAAGCAGAGAAUGGGAGUUUCAAACCGGCGACUAUGACAUUAUGCCAGCUCUGAAACUUAGCUAUGAUUAUCUCCCUUUUCAUCUACAACAGUGUUUUUCCUAUUGUGGUUUGUUCCCUGAAGAUUAUGAGUUUGGUAGCAAAGAGUUGGUUCACUUAUGGAUGGGGCUCGAUAUUCUAGAUUCACAUGAUCAAAGGAAAAGUCUUGAAGAUGUUGGGUUGUGCUAUUUAAAUGACUUGGUUAAUAGCGGUUUUCUCAAGAAGAACAAAAAAGAUGACGGCAGUCAUUGUUAUGUUGUUCAUGACCUACUACAUGACUUGGCAGUUAAUGUUUCAUCACCAGAGUGUCUUAGCAUAUCAAGUUCCAAUGUGAGACAUGUACAAUCUUCCCUCUCUGUACGUCACUUGUCUAUCAUUGUAGAUGAGAGAGAUGUCAGUGAUCGAAUGACCUUUGAUGAUUUUAAGAGAGAAUUGAGUACAUUACAAACAAAGUUGAAGGUUGAAAAUCUACAAACUGUGAUGCUAUUUGGAAAAUUCCAUGUAAGCUUUGCAAGGACUUUUGGUGAUCUGUUUGCAGAAGCAAAAUCCCUUCGUGUUAUUCUUUUGUCCGAGGUAUCUUAUAGUUACAUUCUGGAGGAUAUGUUCCAUAGCCUUCCGAAUUCUAUCCAUCUUCGCUACCUAAGGAUAACUACAGGAUAUGAAGCAAAAUUGAGUUUGAACAGCAACAUCUCCAGGUUAUAUCACCUGAGGGUCCUAGAUGUUCAACACUGCAAUGACCACCGUGAUGUUCGAGCAAAGAGCAACCUUGUAGUUUCAGUUCAAAAAAUGAGCAACCUUGUAAAAUUGCGCCAUUUUAUUUUCCAGGACUGUGGAUUCGAGUUAAGGCAAAUAGGAAAGUUAGUCGAUCUUGGUGGGGUACUAAGAAUCCAUAACAUUGAGAAUGUCGUACAAAAGGAAGAAGCGAACGAAGCAAACUUGGUACACAAAAACCACUUAGAGAAGCUAAUAUUACAGUGGGGUACUUAUGGAGACGAUAUGGAUUCUAUACAAGAAUAUGUUCUUGAAAAUCUUAAACCUCAUAGCAAUCUCUUACAUCUGCACAUUGGAGGGCACAGAGGUGCUUCUUGCCCAUCAUGGCUAGGUGGGAAACUCUCGGUUAAAAAUUUGGAAUCUCUUCAUCUGCAUGAUGUAGGUUGGAAAAUAUUUCCACCUCUAGGAGAGUUGUGGUUCCUUGGUGAAGAGCACCAAAGUUGUAUCGCAAGUCAAAGCUUUCAAAAUCUGAAGAGGCUGGAACUAGUUAAGAUACAAAAGUUGAGAAAAUGGGUUGAAAAUAGCACUUGUGGUUUGUUCUCUCAGCUAGAAGAGCUCACUGUUAAAGACUGCCCUGAACUCAUGGAAUUGCCAUUUACACGCUGUCAAUUAGAGCACGAAGCUGCAAGCAUGACUUGGUUUCCUAGAUUAUGGAAGCUCGAGAUUCUGGACUGCCCAAAACUAGAGUCUUUGCCUCCUAUGCCUUGGACUUCUGCUCCAUGCUCUGCCAGGAUAGUCCGGGUAGGAUCUUGUUUCGAAUACUUGCAUUACUCAAAAGAACAUGGGCGGCAAGAUGGCUUGUGGAUUACGGGGAGGGGUGGUCAAGAUGGCAUGUUCUGGAAUGUGUUGGCAUUCUCUAAUCUAGCUGAUCUUAACCAGCUGCACAUGACGAACUGCCCACUUGUCCCACUGGAUCACCUCCAAAGGUUAGCAUCUCUGAAGUCCCUCAGUAUACAUUAUUCAAGUAAUAGCAAUGUCUUGUUGCCAGCUGAUAGAGAGAGUGAUGUCACAUUCGAGUUACCAGUUGAAUGCCUCAACAUUGCAUAUUCUGGUGCUGGUGAGAAGGAAUUGACACAGUUGCUCUCUCAUUUCCAUGUUCUGAGCGAGUUGAGGUUAUCUCAUUGUGAAAAUAUAACAAUGGUUAGUGUGGUGGAGCAGUCGCAGACGACAAGAGGAGAGGAGGAAAUAACAGCAGGAGGAGAAUAUGGACUUUUGCUUUCGUCUCCCCAUCUACAGAAAUUGGUAAUCUUAUAUUGCUGUAAGUUGAGCCUUCUAGGCUGUUCACUCAAAGGCCUUCGCUCAUUCCGCAUAGAAGGUUGCCCCAACUUCUCUUCCUCUUCAUGCAUAUGGCAUCUCCUUGCUCAUGGCUGCCUCACAGAAUUAUACAUCUUUAAGACCCCCGAAUUCUUCGCCUGUUUCCGGCCCCCACGGGCGCAUGACAAAGAGCCCACAUCUUGCAAACUUCAGAAGCUAGAAACAGAUGACCUCACGGGCCUCCUUGUUGUGCCCAUCUGUAGCCUCCUCUCUUCCUCCAUCACCAACUUAUACUUUCAAAACAAUUAUGAGGUCGAGCGCUUCACUAUGGAGCAAAAGGAUGCCCUUCAGCUCCUCACCUCCCUCCAGGUGCUCACGUUUAGUGGCCUAGACAAGCUGCAGUGCCUCCCAGUAGGGCUACACAGACUUUCCAGCCUCAAGACAUUGCAGAUUUACCACUGUGAGGCCUUCCAAUUGCUGCCCAAGGAUGGCCUCCCAACUUCUCUUCAAAAAUUAGUAAUCUACUACUGUCGUGCCUUCAAAUCACUGCCCAAUGACAGCCUCACGCAUACUCUGCAAGAUUUAAGGAUCACGGGCUGCCCUUCCUUGGAAUCGCUGCCCAAGGACGGUCUCCCAAGUUCACUGCAAGACUUAUGGGUCAGUGAUUGUGGUGCCCUGAGAUCGCUGCCCAAGGAUGCCUCCCGUGUUCUCUGA